UACGUAGGCAGCAAGCGUUGUUCGGAGUUACUGGGCGUAAAGGGUGUGUCGGCGGUUCUUUCAGUUUGGUGUGAAAUCUCCCGGCUCAACUGGGAGGGUGCGCCGAAUACUGAGGGACUAGAGUACGGGAGAGGAAAGUGGAAUUCCUGGUGUAGCGGUGAAAUGCGUAGAUAUCAGGAGGAACACCGGUGGUGUAGACGGCUUUCUGGACCGUAACUGACGCUGAGACACGAAAGCGUGGGUAGCAAACAGG
RNAcentral lists this ribosomal RNA (253 nucleotides) under uncultured bacterium. RNAcentral describes it as "partial 16S ribosomal RNA". It matches the Rfam family "Bacterial small subunit ribosomal RNA", at positions 524 to 776 of the family's 1533-position model. The record is from RNAcentral.